MicroRNA precursor from Oreochromis aureus, 87 nucleotides. Lineage: Eukaryota; Metazoa; Chordata; Actinopteri; Cichliformes; Cichlidae. The record is from Ensembl.
AUGCUGACCGGGUGGUCGAGGCACGAUGUGCUGCGAGUGCGGUGUUCCCCCUGGCUCUAGUGGGCCUCGACCUCCCAGUCAGCUUCG